RNAcentral lists this ribosomal RNA (467 nucleotides) under uncultured bacterium. RNAcentral describes it as "partial 16S ribosomal RNA". It matches the Rfam family "Bacterial small subunit ribosomal RNA", at positions 28 to 507 of the family's 1533-position model. The record is from RNAcentral.
GAUGAACGCUGGCGGCGUGCUUAACACAUGCAAGUCGAACGGAAAGGCCCAAGCUUGCUUGGGUACUCGAGUGGCGAACGGGUGAGUAACACGUGGUUGAUCUGCCCUGCACUUCGGGAUAAGCCUGGGAAACUGGGUCUAAUACCGGAUAGGACCACUUCUUGGAUGUUGUGGUGGAAAGUUUUUUCGGUGUGGGAUGAGCUCGCGGCCUAUCAGCUUGUUGGUGGGGUAAUGGCCUACCAAGGCGUCGACGGGUAGCCGGCCUGAGAGGGUGUACGGCCACAUUGGGACUGAGAUACGGCCCAGACUCCUACGGGAGGCAGCAGUGGGGAAUAUUGCACAAUGGGCGCAAGCCUGAUGCAGCGACGCCGCGUGGGGGAUGACGGCCUUCGGGUUGUAAACUCCUUUCGCUAGGGACGAAGCGUUUUGUGACGGUACCUGGAGAAGAAGCACCGGCUAACUACGUG